RNAcentral lists this ribosomal RNA (253 nucleotides) under uncultured bacterium. Its description in RNAcentral is "partial 16S ribosomal RNA". It matches the Rfam family "Bacterial small subunit ribosomal RNA", at positions 524 to 776 of the family's 1533-position model. The record is from RNAcentral.
GACAGAGGUUGCAAGCGUUGUUCGGAAUUACUGGGCAUAAAGCGCACGUAGGCGGUCCGCUAAGUCAUGUGUGAAAUCCCCCGGCUCAACCGGAGAACUGCCUCGGAUACUGGGCGUCUCGAGUGUGGUAGGGGUAUGCGGAACUAUCGGUGGAGCGGUGAAAUGCGUUGAUAUCGAUAGGAACUCCGGUGGCGAAGGCGGCAUACUGGACCACCACUGACGCUGAUGCGCGAAAGCCAGGGGAGCAAACGGG